CCGCGGGAAAGGCAUUUUGGGGACACAGGAGAGCUGCGAGGGCGACGCACGGGCGAGCUGUCGUUAGGGCCCAGAAAAGGCCCGUUGCGGGGCGCACAGGCGGGCAGGGGAACUCGCGCCCGUCGCCGCGCGCCCGGCCUCCUGACGCCAGGGCCGGCUUCUGAGCACAGCCACCGCGGCGGCCGGGGGCGGCCACUGCUCCCUGCGAGCCCGCGUCCCCGCCCCAGAAGCCCCCCGAGCCCGCGUCCGAGCUCCAGGCCCUGGAGGAGCCGGGCGGGCAGCUGACAGCCCCGGAGCCGCUCCCGGGCUCUCCGCGCGGUGGCAGCCAGGCCGUGCCUCCCGGUUCCCCUCCCGCGCCGCGCUGCCCCUCCGGGACCCACCAGGCCUGGCUGCACCUCUUUCCUCUGCGGCUCCCGCGGAGCCUUGGAAAGUGCCCUCCAGAGAUGUGCUUAGGAAGUGUGUGAUGAAUAAAGGAGACAAUCAGGAUAACUAUAAUAUUUAUUAUGCACUUG
RNAcentral lists this non-coding RNA (512 nucleotides) under Pongo abelii (Sumatran orangutan). The record is from RNAcentral. Lineage: Eukaryota; Metazoa; Chordata; Mammalia; Primates; Hominidae.